Capra hircus (goat) is the source of this 74-nucleotide non-coding RNA. NCBI's taxonomy places the organism in Eukaryota, Metazoa, Chordata, Mammalia, Artiodactyla, Bovidae. The record is from the annotation of a RefSeq genome assembly.
UCCCCGGUGGCUCAGAGGGUAAAGCGCCUGCCUGCAAUGCAGGAGACCCGGGUUCAAUCCCCUGGGCCGGGAAG